UCCAGGCCGAACGUCUGAUCCUUAGUCGUUUUGACUGGGGAAAGUGAAGCAGACUAUUUGCGGCUUCACUCCGCCAUGCAUUAAGUAAAACCAAUACGUCAUGAAUAACUUGAUGGAUGGCCCACCCUAAGGGAAAACCAAUAAGUCAUGAAUAACUUGAUGGAUGGCCCACCCUAAGGUGAAACCAAUAGGCCAUAGAACACUUGAUGGCCACCCUAAGGGAAAACCAAUAAGUCAUGAAUAACUUGAUGGAUGGCCACCCUAAGGUGAAACCAAUAAGCCAGGGAACACUUGAUGGCCACCGUAAGGUCAUUGGCUCAAAGGGAGGAGACCUGGUCACUCUAAGUGAACGUGUGGAGAAGCAACAGCACAACGUGUACAACAUUUUAUUGCACUUCACAAAAUAAAAAACAAUGUACUAAA
Molecule: long non-coding RNA, 423 nt
Organism: Clupea harengus (Atlantic herring)
Lineage: Eukaryota; Metazoa; Chordata; Actinopteri; Clupeiformes; Clupeidae
Source: RefSeq, a predicted model, not a curated record